Oncorhynchus kisutch (coho salmon) is the source of this 6618-nucleotide RNA transcript. It is a transcript of the gene named polypyrimidine tract-binding protein 1, with no coding region annotated. The transcript is spliced from 13 exons. The record is from RefSeq and is a predicted model, not a curated record. Lineage: Eukaryota; Metazoa; Chordata; Actinopteri; Salmoniformes; Salmonidae.
CCGCCAUUUUGUAAGGGUAUAAGAAAAGUCAGCCAGGCUACAGACUUGUUGGUCUAACUUGUGUAGCUAGUUCCGUGUUGUGCAAUGGACGGCCGUCUAGAGACUGAUUUGUAUCCUAUGGGAUCUACUUACGUCACUGAACUAGACAGUGUCCACGAUAUUACAGUUGGUACAAAGAGAGGAUCAGACGAGCUUUUCUCCUGCGUGGCAAACGGACCCUAUAUAAUGACCAGCGCAGCAGCCAAUGGCAACGACAGCAAGAAGUUCAAAGGUGACAUAAGGGGCCCGGGCAUCCCGUCGCGCGUCAUCCACGUGCGCAAGCUCCCCAACGACAUCAACGAGGCCGAGGUCAUCUCCCUGGGCCUGCCCUUUGGCAAAGUCACCAACCUGCUCAUGCUCAAAGGAAAAAACCAGGCCUUCAUAGAGAUGAACACCGAGGAUGCAGCUCAGACCAUGGUCAGCUACUACUCCUCGGUGACGCCGGUCAUCCGCAACCACCCCAUCUUCAUGCAGUACUCCAACCACAAGGAGCUCAAGACGGACAACUCCCCCAACCAAGUGGUGAGUCACUCUGCUGCAGCUACUUUCUUCUCAACAGUUGCAUAACCCUUUAUCUGUGCAGGCUUACUACUUCUGGAAGGCCAUAAGAGAAGGCUGAACUCGAGUGCGCUUCAUGUUUUCAACAUUAUUUGGACAAAGGAGCAUGUCUACAAAACACAUCAGCAAGGGAUUUCAGCUACCACCCUGAACCUUUCAUAAUUACUCUUCAUUCAUUUUGGUGUGGCAGGGUAGCUUAGUGGUUAGAGCAUUGGACUAGUAACCGAAAGGUUGCAAGUUCGAAUCCCUGAGCUGACAAGGUACAAAUCUGUCGUUCUGCCCCUGAACAGGCAGUUAACCCACUGUUCCUAGGCCGUCAUUGAAAAUAAGAAUUUGUUCUUAACUGACUUGCCUAGUAAAAUAAAGGUAAAAAAAUGUGACUUUAAUUUUGUAGUUUUCUCUGAGCAAUUAGUGUUUGAUGCUUAGAGCCAACAUGAAGUGGGUUUCCUCCACAGCGGACUAGUUUGCUGUGGUAGUGUUCCACAUUUUUUUGGUUUUUUUUUUGAAUUGGUUUCUUGCGCUCUUCUCGGUUUCCUGUAUUGCUGGGUCAAAAUGACUCAUUUGGAAACAUUCUGUUCUUGCCAGGGCUUGUGUGGUUGCACAAACAAACCACCAGUCUACUUGUCAGCUGACUUGAGCUAAUCAGAAUGAACCUAUAUUCUGCUGUGUUGCUGAAAAUGGAGCUGUCUGCAUUCGACUGCUAAUUUGUUCAACUUACACUCUUGCGGAAUAAAGUAGGUCUCAAGUUUACCUUUCCCUGAAUAUCUUGCAGGGGUUGGACCCAGUUCAGUGAACACAACUGAAAACCAGAAAAUAUAUUUUUUUCAAGGAACUGAAAUGCUUCCUGGAACAAGAGUGAUCUAUAAUAUUCCAGAACAGAAGCGUUACUUUAAAAGCACGGGAACAGAUUCAUACUUUACAUCCCAGGCACACCAAAAACAAUUGUCCCCCAACAAAGCGCAUGUAUGCGAAGUCCUCAACUCAGACUUAUUCCAGUGUCUACCUGCAUGCUAGAAAAUCUUUGCCAGUGCGUGUUUAGGCUACCCGCCCCUCCCCUGUCCGACACAUAGGCUACUGCACUGACCUUACAAGCUUGAUUCAGAAGAUGGGGAGUGAUUUUCUUUAAUUAGCAAGAACAGGAACUUUUCCCAAUGCUUGUCAAGGAUACUAUAGGCCUAGUGAUCGGGUUUCACGUUGGAUUUAUUAACUUUAUUAACUAAGGUAAGAUGUGUUUUUAGCUUACGUUGGUUACCUAGUUGUCUCAAAGAACAUUCAAAGUUCCUCUAUAGGAGCUGCUCCUCGUAGGUAUAAUGCUGUGGCUAAGAUACCCAGCGCUUUAUGACUCCUCAACCCGCUCGCUCUCCCCACCUGCAAAAUCUGUUGCAUCUUGGGCCUUAUUAAGCUACACUUGUCUGUUCGUCAUGCAGGUAAACAACUAGCUUGCCUGCUCCAUCCUCACUGAUUGGUGAAGUAAUUUAAUGAGAAAGGACAAAAUAAUUGACUUCACAUGUAAAAAAAUAAAAUAAUAAUAAUUUAAAAAAUGAUAACCUGUACUUUUUGGGGGGUUUGAAUCGUUUCACAACUUUUUUGCUGGUCAGAACAGUGGAAUGAACGGGGAAAAAAUGGUGGUUGUGUUCAGACCCGGCGUGAUAGGAAAAUAAUUUUGGUUCCAACUGAUAUCUUAUAGUGUGUACCAUGCACCCUCUCAAAAAGACCCUCCCGUUUUCUAAACACUUUCCUGGGAGACCGCAUCCCAAUGGCGACCAAUGGAAGCUCCAGCUGUCCACUCUACUCCCCCUUCAAAUGACUCUACUCUGGUCUUAUCUGCUAAUAGGUCAAUGAAGGUAACAUAAACACUGCUGCAGUGUAGAUGAACAUUCCCAGAUGUUUGGGUAUUGCUGGUAGAAACUAGGUUUCCCUCCAUGUUGUUCCUCUGUUUUUCUUCCCACCAGGUGUUUUACACUCAAACGGGCCCCAGAGUUUCCACUGUGUAUACAAACAUGUCACGGACAGAGUGGUCAGCAGCACCCUGGAAUGUACUCUUUUACUUCCCAAAAGUUAUUUUUACAGGCAUUUUCUUGUAAAUGUCCAGCAACUUUACCUGAGGCUGUUCAAUAAGAACAUUCGGAACAUUGAAACAUAUUGACUCUCUGUGGGAGUCAGGUCAGCUCUACCUAAGCGUUUGUAGAUUCUCUUGCUUCUUGCCACUUCCAUUGAACCAUCUUCCUCUCUUCAGAGAGCCCAGGCGGCACUGCAGGCAGUGAACGCAGUCCAGGCAGGGGGCAUGCCCAUGGCAGGGGGCAUGCCCAUGGCAGGGGGCAUGCCCAUGGCAGGGGGCAUGCCCAUGGCAGGGGGCAUGCCCAUGGCAGGGGGCAUGCCCAUGGCAGGGGGCAUGCCCAUGGCAGGGGGCAUGCCCAUGGCAGGGGUUGAUGCCUCAGGGGGCAUGGGUGGGCACAGCCCUGUGCUGCGCGUUAUAGUGGAGAACCUGUUCUACCCAGUCACCCUGGACGUGCUGCACCAGGUAAAACACACACUUUUCAAUACAUUAAUGACUGUAUAUUGGUCUGAGCUUGUAUUCCCCCUGACCAUGCCCUCCUUGCAUGCAGAUCUUCUCUAAGCUCGGCACAGUGCUGAAGAUUAUCACCUUUACCAAAAACAACCAGUUCCAGGCCCUGCUGCAGUACUCGGACGGUCUGACCGCGCAGCACGCUAAACUGUCUUUAGAUGGGCAGAACAUCUACAACGCCUGCUGCACCCUCCGCAUCAACUUCUCCAAGCUGACCAGCCUGAACGUGAAGUACAACAACGACAAAAGCCGCGACUACACGCGGCCUGACCUGCCCACGGGAGACAGCCAGCCCUCCAUCGACCACCAGGCCAUGGCUGCAGCCUUCGGUGAGUACUAUGGUGCUCCUGGGAUCAUCUCAGCCAACCCAUACGCAGGAGCUCAUGCCUUCCCCCCGGCAUUCGCCAUUCAGCAAGCUACAGGCCUGACGAUGCACGGUGUCCCUGGAGGCCUGGCUCAACUGACCAUGCCCGUGGCUGCAGCCGCGGCGGCUGCAGGCAGAAUGGGCUUCCACCAACUCUCCGGUGGCCACUGUGUCAUGCUGGUCAGCAACCUCAACCCAGAGGUGUAUAUGGUGAUGUGAUGAGAGUGAAGAUCCUGUUCAACAAGAAGGAGAACGCUCUGAUCCAGAUGUCUGAUGGGACUCAGGCGCAGCUAGCAAUGAGCCACCUAAAUGGCCAGAGGCUCCACGGGAAAGCGCUGCGUGUCACCCUGUCCAAACACACCAAUGUCCAGCUGCCCCGCGAGGGCCAUGAGGACCAGGGCCUGACAAAGGACUACAGCAACUCACCCCUGCACCGCUUUAAGAAGCCCGGCUCCAAGAACUACUCUAACAUAUUCCCUCCCUCAGCCACCCUGCACCUCUCAAACAUCCCUCCCUCUGUGGUUGAGGAUGACCUCAAGAUGCUGUUUGCGAGCUCCGGUGCAAUGGUCAAGGCCUUCAAGUUCUUCCAGAAAGACCGCAAGAUGGCCUUGGUCCAGAUGAGCUCAGUUGAGGAGGCCAUAGAGUCCCUCAUCGAGUUCCACAAUCACGACCUGGGUGAGAACCACCACCUGAGGGUCUCCUUCUCCAAAUCUACCAUCUGAGGGGUGCAGCCCAAAACACUGCUAAUGGGCCGCCCACAUCCCUUCACGACCUCUACUAUGUCAAGUUGUGGGGAAGCGACUCUUCAUUCGUGAAGUAGCAUCCAACACAGCAAUCACUUCCAUCAUUCCUAGUAUAUUUAUAUACGCAUAUCUACAUAUGUCGACCUAUAAACCAUAUGGAAAAGAAACGUGCACACCCGAUUUUACUGGGUAAAAAAAAAGAAAACUUUUAUAUUUCUAGCAUCUUGCCUUUGCGAGGUAAAUGCAUUCCUUGCUCUCUGCACCGGCAGAAGUAGUUUACACUUGCCUGUCUAAGUCUGAUUUAAGAGAUUGGCGUAGCCUUAACUUCAGUCUUUUGGUGAAUUCCAUUUGCCCUUGGGUUCCAACACCACUAGGUUCUGAGGCUGAUGCCUCAUGCCCUCUUUGCCUUCAGAUGUUUUCUGUGCCUUAUUCCAGAAGUCUUAUGUCCUUCAAUUUGAUACGUUGGCAUUUUACAGCCAAAACAAAUUUUAGCUUAUCUUCCUCUCCCCAAUCCUUGCUUGCGAAGACCAGGUUUACAGCUGAUAUGGGUUUACCGUUUGUAUAAAAUGUAUUACAAGGUGGUUCACCCCCCCCCCCAAUGUAUUAUGAAGGUUUUCUUUUUAGUCUUAUUUUUAAAUUUAAGAUGAGCUAGUUAGUUGAAGAUUAAAUCCACAACUCAUUAUCUAGCUUUUUUAUUUUUUAAAUAUGUAAACCCCUUGUACCAGGGUUUGUGAUUAUUAGUCUUGUGUACUGUAUGUCUAGAUGUAGGUUUGCAUUUUUUAUGAAAUUUAUGCAAUACAUUUUGUACAAAUCCAGUAUUGUACACAUUGUUAUUCCUAUAUACUGUUGGUUGUAGCUUAUAGGUAUUGGUCAGUGGUUGCCUUAACGACUGUGCCUUAGAAAAAGGUCUUACUAGAAAUUUCCUGAUAAGUAUGGCUUACAAUGUCUUAUGAUUUUUGUCUUAAUGGCUUGCCUCUCCUGAUGCAGUGGCUGUCAAUUUAGUAUAUUUAUACAAUUUUGUGAUACACUACAGCGUAAAACCAAAUGGCCUUUUUGAAAGUUAUUUUAGCGAACCUGUAUACACAGCUUUAUUCAUAAUGCACUGCCACAGAGUUGUGGUAGUCUGCCUGCCCAUUAUAGCACAUUUUACAAGGCUCUUACGGGGAUCAGACAGAAGCGGACUAUUGUGACUCUGCUGCUGUGAAUUAUAAAAUAAACUUAUGAAUUGGAAGCGUCUCUCAGUUGCAUGCCAAGAUGAAUGAUGGUUAUUUGAUAUUUACAUGUGGGGUUAGUAACCUUUUAUUGUACAGGGCUGUGACUUUACCUUAAUGCAGUCAUUGCUAACGGCAAUGCGGCACCCUCUCAUGUAGUCUAUGGACUGGACUUGUGGAUCUGGACAACGUUCAUCUUAAAUUGAGAUCCAUUUUGUGUUUUUGGAGAAGUGCCUUUCAAAUGAAGCCUUUUUUGGUCUGUUUAUACACGUAUGUUUACGUAAUGAACGUAUGUUCCUGCCUUAAGUGCCCUCAGGCUCAUAGGAAAUGCACACAUCCGGCAUAAAUGUAAAGGUCUGCAGUGAUUCUGGGCGCUUGCUACAGUGAAGGUGGACACUGUUGUAGAUCACAUUUUAAAAGGUAAUUAUCAGUCUUAAUACUUGGACAUUCCACAUGUGCAUCAUUUUAUAUUGGGCAAAUGUUAAGGUUCUUUUCUCACAAUUAAUUGUGCAUCAAUUUCCUUAUUUUAAAUUGAUGCAAAGCAAUAGAAUUUCAGGGUCAUGUGAAGAACCAGUGCUCAGACAUUGUUCGAUCACUAGUUUUCUUGAACACCAGUUUAUUACAUGCUAACCUAUUCAUAAUUGGACUCCAGCAAUUCAGAAGAAUGACUAUUUGUUUGUAGAUUACUCAAGAAUAUGCGACACUUGUCUCCAUAUCAAUAUGUAGCAUGUAUUGCUAUUAAAGGUAUUUUACUUGCUUUGCAUAUCCCAGGCUAGGAGUGGAUUUCCCAAUUAUGCAAAAUUGCACAGCAUUGAAAAUCAUUACCUCGAUCACUUAACAUUAAGAUGGCAGGAUUUCUUCAAGUGAGAUGAUUGUCAGGGGGGGUGAAAAGCGGUAUUUUUUUGUACCACAAAGUAGGUAUUCUGAAACGAUAGGUUUUAUAUCUAUGAAACAUGUAUAUUUUGAUUACAAUUAGCUUGGGACCUUGUCUCUUGGGCCUCUCAGUAAAGAAAACAAACAUCACAAUUAAAUUGUUAGAGAACAAACAAAAAAUGGGUCCCUUUUUGGUCAUUAGUUUUCCGUGUAGCUUAAACUUUCCUUAUUUGUGCCUUCAAUAAAUAUUUUCACUGCUUUCAA